CCCACAUGGGCGGGCAGUCGAAUCGGUUGCAGGCCUGCACGGAGCUGGGCUUGGGGUGCCGGCAUUCUGAUUCGCCAGCCGGGACCGUCCCGUUAUCUCCAUGGGAACGAGGGCGGGCACAGACCACGGCUCGUGUCCUGAGACCCACCCCACAGGUGGCUGAGCAUGGACUCCAAGCGCCAACCUCCCACCUGCGGGCAUAAAGGAGGGGAGUCAGGAAAGACGGAGAGAGGGGUUAUAACCUGUGUUAGGUAAUAUGGAGCCCCCCCAGCUACAAGACACACUCUGCACUCACGCUCCACUCACACGGCGCAAGGGGAUGGAGAACAGCGACAGCCUGCCCAAGAAGCACCGGGGGUUUACUCUCAGAGAGGCUGAUUUCUGAAGAGCUGCCUUGUAUUUAAGACCAAGACCUUCCAGAUCGUCAGUGCAGGGGAGAUUUGGAACGGGAUUGGACAUUAACCUCACAUGACACGGCAGAUGCGCUACACUUUGGGCCUCUGCGUUGCCAUGGUUAUGUCUGCUGCUAAGAACACCCCUUGCAGUAGCACAGCCCUGGUGCUACCUGGCAGUGGGACUUUCCUAAGAAGAAAACUGAGAUUGCAUUCCAGCUGUCAGCUACGCAUGCCAGGGCUCAGUAGAUCCUACAUCCCCCUUGUCAUUGUAUACUCGGCCUCAUACAUAUUCCUCAUGUCACAACUCCAGCUGUGUGGUGGCCUACUGCUUCACGCAUCUUCUUAAUCUCCAUGCCACCUACUCUAUGAUGUC
Molecule: non-coding RNA, 768 nt
Organism: Paramormyrops kingsleyae
Lineage: Eukaryota; Metazoa; Chordata; Actinopteri; Osteoglossiformes; Mormyridae
Source: RefSeq, a predicted model, not a curated record